RNAcentral lists this ribosomal RNA (301 nucleotides) under uncultured bacterium. RNAcentral describes it as "partial 16S ribosomal RNA". It matches the Rfam family "Bacterial small subunit ribosomal RNA", at positions 509 to 807 of the family's 1533-position model. The record is from RNAcentral.
CAGCCGCCGCGGGAAUACGUAGGGUGCGAGCGUUAAUCGGAAUUACUGGGCGUAAAGCGUGCGCAGGCGGUCUUGUAAGACAGGCGUGAAAUCCCCGGGCUCAACCUGGGAAUGGCGCUUGUGACUGCAAAGCUAGAGUGCGGCAGAGGGGGAUGGAAUUCCGCGUGUAGCAGUGAAAUGCGUAGAUAUGCGGAGGAACACCGAUGGCGAAGGCAAUCCCCUGGGCCUGCACUGACGCUCAUGCACGAAAGCGUGGGGAGCAAACAGGAUUAGAUACCCGCGUAGUCCCUGUCUCUUAUAC